UAGGGAAUCUUCGGCAAUGGGGGGAACCCUGACCGAGCAACGCCGCGUGAGUGAAGAAGGUUUUCGGUUCGUAAAGCUCUGUUGUUAAGGAAGAACGAGUGUGAGAAUGGAAAGUUCAUACUGUGACGGUACUUAACCAGAAAGGGACGGCUAACUACGUGCCAGCAGCCGCGGUAAUACGUAGGUCCCGAGCGUUGUCCGGAUUUAUUGGGCGUAAAGCGAGCGCAGGCGGUUAGAUAAGUCUGAAGUUAAAGGCAGUGGCUCAACCAUUGUAGGCUUUGGAAACUGUUUAACUUGAGUGCAGAAGGGGAGGGUGGAAUUCCAUGUGUAGCGGUGAAAUGCGUAGGUAUCUGGAGGAACCCCAGAGGCGAAGGCGACUCUCUGGUCUGUAUCAGACGCUGAGGCUCGAAAGCGUGGGUAGCAAACAGG
RNAcentral lists this ribosomal RNA (429 nucleotides) under Bacteroidota bacterium. RNAcentral's name for it is "Bacteroidetes bacterium partial 16S ribosomal RNA". It matches the Rfam family "Bacterial small subunit ribosomal RNA", at positions 355 to 776 of the family's 1533-position model. The record is from RNAcentral. Lineage: Bacteria; Pseudomonadati; Bacteroidota.